RNAcentral lists this long non-coding RNA (2917 nucleotides) under Gouania willdenowi (blunt-snouted clingfish). RNAcentral's name for it is "lncRNA (ENSGWIG00000001372.1)". The record is from RNAcentral. Lineage: Eukaryota; Metazoa; Chordata; Actinopteri; Blenniiformes; Gobiesocidae.
CACCUCCGUGAGUCAGGAAUAGACCAGAAAGAAGGAGCUAACAUCCACUAAACAUGAAGGCAGUGCUUUGAACCGUCUCAGUUUGAAGAAGAUCAAAUGGAAAGUUUGACUUUUUCUUUUUGAUUUUACUGCUGCUUUGGAGUUUUCUCAGAGGGACAUAGAGGAACAGAAUAGAGCACCAAGAAGACUAUAGACUAAACUGCCUGCCUGUUGCUAAGCUGCUUUCCCUCUUAUGAAGUGUGUCAUUUACCCAGUCUGAAGUUAAUCAGCACUAUUUUAAUGCAUAUUAUACAUUAUUUAAAGCUGGGCUUCUUCUUGCUCUUGGAGUUCAUAAAGAAUGGACUCCAAAGAUGUCUUUCACAAAUUGUUGCAUCCACUCGUAGCACAAGUGCAGAACACACGGCCUCAGAGGGAUGGAAAACUGCUGAGUCACUGCGCACGUACCAGCUUACAGAUGGAGACGUAGCCAUGGUUACCAUCCAAACCAGCUCACAUGACUUCUAUGUGGAGUUCCAAAGACUUUUGCAGUGCAGCGAGUACUUUCGAGCGCUGUCCCAGUCCAGGAUGAGGGAGGCCUCUGAGAGCCUGAUCCACCUGGAACACGUGCCAUCUCACAUAUUCUACAAUCUGCUGGAGUUCUCCUUUAAUCACAGUUUUAAUGUCCCUGCAGAAGAGUUAGGAACACACAUCCAGGUGAGCAGCUAUCUCCUGGCUGAGGCCUUCCUCUCUGAGUGUCUGUCAGCUCUGUCAGAUCAUCUCAGUCCAUCAAACUGUCUCUCAUAUCUAAACUUUGCCAAAGACAUCGUCUGUUUGGAGAUGAAGUCCACUGUUCUGACCUACGUGAGUAGAAACCUGCUGGAGCUGCCCGAUGUGUUCAGAUGUUUGAGUGAUGACGAAAAAGACGACGCGGUCAGACUGAGGACUGGAGGCGAGCGAUGCGUCUGUAGUGUGAGGAAGGAGAACCUGAGCACCUGGACGGACCCAGAAACCCAUCAAGCCCGGUUCCUGUUCGCCCUGCAGGGGUCAAAGGGCGACGACAGCUGGUGUCCAAUCACGGAGCUCCCUUUCAGCUCUGAUAAGUGGUGCUUUACGGUGGUGGUGCUUUUUAACUACCUGUACAUCAUAGGAGGCUACAGGCAGCGCAGGAAGAGAGGCUGGGAGUUCACCAUGGCUUCAUUCAGGUUUAACCCCUUCACUCACACCUGGGCCACUACGUCACCUCUCAUAAAGGAGACACUUCAGUGCGGUGGCCUGCGAUGGUGGUAUCUAUGCAGUGGGAGGCUGGUAUCUGGACUCUCUGGUUUCUCCAGACUCCUGCACGGCUAUGUACACGGCUGUAGAGCGCUAUGACCCAUGGACCGACUCCUGGAGGUUUGUGUCCUCUCUGCCCCUCACUGACUUCCAGUUCACCUUGUCCUUGUCCCAUGACGUUCCUCUCUGCACCAGCCUUGGACAACACGUCUACGUGUUGGGAAACAUCCAGAGGACUGGGGAAGUGUUGUUACUGCAGUACAACACUAAGCUGGGUGCAGAAAUACAGCAGAGCAUAAUACACACACACACACACACGCACAACCACACACACACACACACACACACACAUCGUAAAACACCAGUGACUCCCAACAUGAACAUACUAUAGGCCAGAGAUGGACAACUUUUAUUAAGGAGUCGUGUUCAAGGGUCACAUUAUCAACAUUCAUGUUAGCGUUGUGAGUAAUGAUCAAUUCUGAGCAUUAAUGCAGGAAAGAACCUAUAUACAGUGUAUAAAUUCAUUGUCAAUUCUUGUGUGGGGGGGGGUUCAGUUAUUUGGUGUAUUUUUCUUUCAUUUUAUGUAUAUUUGUGAUUGUUUUUUCUCUCUUAUUUCAUGUGUUUUUUGUGGAUUUGUGUGGUCAUUUUGCAGAUUUUUUUGUCAUUGUGUUUAUUUUUCUCUAACUUUCUGUAUUAUUAUUGUCAUUUAUUCAUUUUGUAUAUUUUUCUAUCAUUUCUUGUUAUGUUUAUUCAUUUUGUGUAUUUUUCUCUCAAUUUAGGUAUUUUUGUGGUAAUUUUGUAUAUCUAUUAUUUUGUGGCUUUUUUCAAGUAAUUUUGUGGUUUUUUCUCUCAUUUUCUGUUUUCUUUAGGUCAUUUUUCUAUAAUUUUGUGUGUGUGUGUUUUUUUUUUAGUCCUUUAGUGUAUUUGUGUAGUUUUGCUGUUGUAUUUUAUGGUCAUUUGUGUACUUCUACGUGAGCUUUUGGGGUCAUCUUGUGUGCUUAUGGGGGUCAUACAAAAUGAAGACAGAGGGUUGCAUGUGGCCGCUCAUGGUAUGAGCAGUUUUUCAGGGUAAAGAGCAUAAAAAGCUUGUGCUCAGAUUAUUUAUUCAGAUCAAUGUAGACGUUCUUUUCUGUCGUCUCAGAUGUGUGGAGUGAACUUCGUCCGACUCUCACCAGAGCCGAUGCAAACAUCCCUGCUCUCUAUUUUUUGGGGGCCACUGACAGAUUGUUUGUGAUUGGUGGGAAUAACUCUGAGAAUGUGGUGACAUCAUACAGUUUGAAGACACAGAUGUGGGGACAGGUGAAGUGAAGUCGAGCAACUUUCAUAAUAACAUAAAUGAUCAUUUUUCAUGAUAUUAUUGAUGAUUCACAUUAGACAUCUCCUGCUAUAUGUUUUUCCUUCAGGUGUGUGGAGUUGACAAAGUGGCGUUAGCAGGACAGGGGACGGUGGGAGACGACCACAUCCUGAUACCAAGUAUAGAACAUAACGCCGUAGUAAGGAUGGAUCUACAAACUCUGUCCCUCACUGCUCUUCCUCCUCUUCCUGUCUCCACUCGCUAUGAGGCAGCCUUUUAUCUACAUUUCUAAUGAUGACGUUUCAAACUUGUUUUAAUGUUUGAAAUCAAACAAAUACUACUUAAUAAAGCACCAAAAAAAAAAAACGUUCA